GUCUACAGCCAUGCUACUCCGAACAAGCCCAAUCCUGUCUGAUUUCGGAAGCUAAGCAGGGUUGGGCCUGGUUAGUACUUGGAUGGGAGACCACCUAGGAAGACCAGGUGCUGUAGGCA
Molecule: ribosomal RNA, 119 nt
Filed under: Pteropus alecto (black flying fox)
Lineage: Eukaryota; Metazoa; Chordata; Mammalia; Chiroptera; Pteropodidae
Source: RNAcentral